CCCCAACAACAAGAAGGGUUUAGUUCACCAUUGUCAUGGUGAACCUAGAUGAAAUAUGACGAAGAAAUGGAAAAGCAAACCCUAGAAAAGACGAAAAGGAGCCUAAGCAUCCAAGAGAUCCUCUCCAAGGAGUGAAAAGUAGGUCUGGCCGCCAUCUUCUGUCAAAAGAAUGCAUCUCCAAUCGCAAUAGGGCUAUUUAUAGCUG
This 205-nucleotide long non-coding RNA is filed under the name Vigna radiata. RNAcentral describes it as "long non-coding RNA (VRAD_LNC005318)". The record is from RNAcentral. Lineage: Eukaryota; Viridiplantae; Streptophyta; Magnoliopsida; Fabales; Fabaceae.